CCAUUUUCGAAAGCCUUGAGAGAGAGAACACAGACGAUACCAACUUUCUUCAAUCUCGUUGCCGCAGUAUAAUUAUCUCAUUCCUCGGAUAUAUCUCUCCUUCUGCGGCGGCGACAAGAAGCUACAAGAAUAAAAAGUCUGUUUUCUCUCUUUUCAAGAAACCACUUACUUCGAAAAUGG
This is a non-coding RNA of Arabidopsis thaliana (thale cress), 180 nucleotides long. NCBI's taxonomy places the organism in Eukaryota, Viridiplantae, Streptophyta, Magnoliopsida, Brassicales, Brassicaceae. The record is from RefSeq.